GAGGAGGAGGAGGCUGAUCACAGUAGAGAUACUGAAGACAGUGUGGUGGAGGAGGAGGAGGAGGAGGAGGCUGAUCACAGUAGAGAUACUGAAGACAGUGUGGAGGAGGAGGAGGCUGAUCACAGUGGAGAUACUGAAGACAGUGUGGUGGUGGAGGAGGAGGCUGAUCACAGUAGAGAUACUGAAGGCAGUGUGGAGGAGGAGGCUGAUCAUAGUAGAGAUACUGAAGGCAGUGUGGUGGAGGAGGAGGAGGCUGAUCACAGUAGAGAUACUGAAGACAGUGUGGUGGAGGAGGAGGAGGCUGAUCACAGUAGAGAUACUGAAGACAGUGUGGAGGAGGAGGAGGAGGAGGAGGAGGCUGAUCACAGUAGAGAUACUGAAGGCAGUGUGGAGGAGGAGGAGGAGGAGGCUGAUCACAGUAGAGAUACUGAAGACAGUGUGGUGGUGGAGGAGGAGGAGGAGGCUGAUCACAGUAGAGAUACUGAAGGCAGUGUGGUGGAGGAGGAGGAGGCUGAUCACAGUAGAGAUACUGAAGACAGUAUGGAGGAGGAGGCUGAUCACAGUAGAGAUACUGAAGACAGUAUGGAGGAGGAGGCUGAUCACAGUAGAGAUACUGAAGACAGUGUGGUGGAGGAGGCUGAUCACAGUAGAGAUACUGAAGAUAGUAUGGUGGAGGAGGAGGAGGCUGAUCACAGUAGAGAUACUGAAGACAGUGUGGAGGAGGCUGAUCUCUCUCUCUCUCUGUGUGUGUGUGCCUGUGUGUGUGUCUGUGUGUGUGUGUGUCUGUGUGUGCGUGUGUCUGUGUGUGUCUGUGUGUGUGCCUGUGUGUGUCUAUGUGUGUCUGUGUGUGUGUGUGUGUGUGUGUGUGUGUGUGUGUCUAUGCCUG
Molecule: long non-coding RNA, 886 nt
Organism: Oncorhynchus tshawytscha (Chinook salmon)
Lineage: Eukaryota; Metazoa; Chordata; Actinopteri; Salmoniformes; Salmonidae
Source: Ensembl